CAAAGUGACAGGUGGUGCAUGGUUGUCGUCAGCUCGUGUCGUGAGAUGUUGGGUUAAGUCCCGCAACGAGCGCAACCCUUAAGCUUAGUUGCCAUCAUUAAGUUGGGCACUCUAAGUUGACUGCCGGUGACAAACCGGAGGAAGGUGGGGAUGACGUCAAAUCAUCAUGCCCCUUAUGAUUUGGGCUACACACGUGCUACAAUGGACAAUACAAAGGGCAGCGAAACCGCGAGGUCAAGCAAAUCCCAUAAAGUUGUUCUCAGUUCGGAUUGUAGUCUGCAACUCGACUACAUGAAGCUGGAAUCGCUAGUAAUCGUAGAUCAGCA
RNAcentral lists this ribosomal RNA (326 nucleotides) under Staphylococcus aureus. RNAcentral describes it as "bacterial SSU rRNA". It matches the Rfam family "Bacterial small subunit ribosomal RNA", at positions 1027 to 1354 of the family's 1533-position model. Lineage: Bacteria; Bacillati; Bacillota; Bacilli; Caryophanales; Staphylococcaceae. The record is from RNAcentral.